UGGGGAAUAUUGGACAAUGGGCGCAAGCCUGAUCCAGCCAUGCCGCGUGAGUGAUGAAGGCACUAGGGUUGUAAAGCUCUUUCACCGGUGAAGAUAAUGACGGUAACCGGAGAAGAAGCCCCGGCUAACUUCGUGCCAGCAGCCGCGGUAAUACGAAGGGGGCUAGCGUUGUUCGGAUUUACUGGGCGUAAAGCGCACGUAGGCGGACUUUUAAGUCAGGGGUGAAAUCCCGGGGCUCAACCCCGGAACUGCCUUUGAUACUGGAAGUCUUGAGUAUGGUAGAGGUGAGUGGAAUUCCGAGUGUAGAGGUGAAAUUCGUAGAUAUUCGGAGGAACACCAGUGGCGAAGGCGGCUCACUGGACCAUUACUGACGCUGAGGUGCGAAAGCGUGGGGAGCAAACAGG
Molecule: ribosomal RNA, 404 nt
Filed under: Actinomycetes bacterium
Lineage: Bacteria; Bacillati; Actinomycetota; Actinomycetes
Also listed under: 1 other name
Description: Actinobacteria bacterium partial 16S ribosomal RNA
Rfam family: Bacterial small subunit ribosomal RNA
Source: RNAcentral